Molecule: ribosomal RNA, 253 nt
Filed under: uncultured bacterium
Lineage: Bacteria
Description: partial 16S ribosomal RNA
Rfam family: Bacterial small subunit ribosomal RNA
Source: RNAcentral
UACGGAGGGGACUAGCGUUGUUCGGAUUCAUUGGGCGUAAAGGGUGCGUAGGCGGCGCGGUAAGUCGGAUGUGAAAUCUCGGGGCUUAACUCCGAAACUGCAUUCGAUACUACCGUGCUUGAGGACUGGAGAGGAGACUGGAAUUUACGGUGUAGCGGUGAAAUGCGUAGAUAUCGUAAGGAAGACCAGUGGCGAAGGCGGGUCUCUGGACAGUUCCUGACGCUGAGGCACGAAGGCCAGGGGAGCAAACGGG